GGAUGAAUAUUGGUCAAUGGACGCAAGUCUGAACCAGCGACGCCGCGUGCGGGAAGAAGGGGCUUUGCCUCGUAAACCGCUGUCAGGAGGGACGAGAGGAUGCCUUGGGCAUCUGGGACGGUACCUCCGAAGGAAGGAUCGGCUAACUACGUGCCAGCAGCCGCGGUAAUACGUAGGAUCCGAGCGUUGUCCGGAAUUACUGGGUGUAAAGGGUGCGCAGGCGGCUUUGUGCGUCAGAGGUGAAAUCCAC
RNAcentral lists this ribosomal RNA (250 nucleotides) under uncultured bacterium. RNAcentral's name for it is "partial 16S ribosomal RNA". It matches the Rfam family "Bacterial small subunit ribosomal RNA", at positions 355 to 604 of the family's 1533-position model. The record is from RNAcentral.